This 2413-nucleotide long non-coding RNA is filed under the name Mus musculus (house mouse). RNAcentral's name for it is "long non-coding RNA chr1:94012049-94014462". Lineage: Eukaryota; Metazoa; Chordata; Mammalia; Rodentia; Muridae. The record is from RNAcentral.
UUCUCAAAUAAUUAGUAAAAAUAUUAUAUUGGGGAAAAAGCCUAGAUCGAUUAUUGAUUAGUUUCUCCCCAUACUUACAAUUAUUUAUGCUCCACAAAUAAUUUAUACUUAGAGUAUUAAAAUAAAACCAUUAACUUCAUUGGAGUAACUACUUCUAAUUUUUUUCUUUUUUUCUUUUUUAGCAGAGAAGGCAGUGUCUUACUGUGUAUCCCUGGCUGGUCUAGAACUCACUAUGUAGAUCGGACUGGCCUCCAACUCACACAGAUCCACAUGUGUCUGCCUUCCAGGUGCUGGAUCAAAUGAAAGUGCCACUUCCUUUAACAUUUUUAAAAACAAGAUUGUCUUUUCCUAUACACCUUUGUUAUUAUUAAGAACAGUGAUAGAAAAAGAGAUCAGCCCUGAACUAUCUAUCUAUCUAUCUAUCUAUCUAUCUAUCUAUCUAUCUAUCUAUCUCUGUAUAGGCCUGGCUGUGGCUGUCCUGGAAAUUGCUCUGUAGACCAGAAUCCCUUUGAACUCAGAGAUCCAGUUGCCUCUGCCUUUCAAGAGCUUGUGUCACCAGUGCUGGCUCAUAACUAAAUCUUAUUGAUCAGUAGAAAUUACCAUUACUAUUGUUUAUUUCCCUUUUAUUAGGAGAAUACAAAUAUUUUUAAUUCCAGCUAAUAAUACUAUAGGAAACCUUACAUAUUUAUUUAAUUAAGAAACAUCUGCCUUUGAAGGUAUAAAAUAUCAUGAAUGUUAUUUUGGGAAACUGAUACCUUUUGUACAUUUUGAUUAAGAAAAACUAAGGAUGUUAGAUUUUUGUAUUACUUGGCUGUUUGCUGUUGUUUUUGCUAUGGUGGAACACUGACUGAACUUUCUGGAGGAAGGAUAUAUUUGCCUUAUGCUUCCAGGUCACAGGCCAUCAAUGAGGGCAGUUUGAAGCACAAACUAUAGAGGAAUCUUGCUCUUGCUCUUGAUUUUGUUUUUCCUAACAUGCUUCAUGACUUUUCUUAUACAACCCUGGGCUCACCUUCCUAAAGUUGGUAGCACCCACAGUGAACCUGUCCCUUUCAAUAUUCAAGGUGAUUGUCUUAUGUUGUUGAGAAAUACCCAAAUGAUUCAGUCACUCAUCUAUGAAAUAAAUGGCUAAUGUCAAACCAUUUACUAAUGUGGGCAAAGCUCAUGGAAAGAACCUAUUGUUUGGUUAAUCCACUAGACUAAUACAUACUACAGUUAGAUAAAUCCCAACCACAAAGCAUUCUUGCUUCUCAGAAUACUUUCCUGAAGUCUCUGAUGUGAUGGGUGGAAGGAAAAUAGGUUUAAUAAAUGGUUGUGGGUUGCCUUUCCAAGUGAAGAUUGGAGGAGGAGGUGAAGGAGGGAACCAGGAAAGUUGGUCACUUUUCAUUUUACAAUCUCCUGUAGUUUUUUUAACUUUGAGAUUAAAUUUGUAUGUUUUAAUUGAAACAUAACUUUUGGUUGAUAAACCUAAAGGAAAGAAAAUCAUUUCUAGGAGUUGAUCUUACAGCAGGUAAAACAGUACAACAAGCCAAUUUUCUUUAGCUGGAGGAACCUAACCAUAGGAGGGACAAACUAGGGCAAAGCAAAUCUCUGACUAGAUACUUUGAAUUCCCAGGCAGGGCUUGUGGGAUUUCCUUUGAUUUGGGGAGAUAGACAAAAUUCUAAAGCCUGAAAAGAUGGUUCCCCUUUCCAGGGCUUCUGUUGGAUGUGUUAUGGUCUUUUUGUUAAAGAUGGUACAGUGGGAGACACAGCCCAUAGUCUCCUCUAGCAGCAUCUGGAGGAGUUCUCUGGCUCCUUUAGGAAGCUCCACUCAGGGAAAAAGCAGAAUUGUUGAUGUCCCCGAAGAAAAGCCAGUCUGAUGGAUAUCUGGAGUUUAUAAGGGAGAGAGUUUAGCAUAGUGUGAAUGGAAGUAACAAAAGGAAGAAGAAGCCACACCCUCCCUCUGUGGAACCCUCUGAUGUGCUGACGAGAAGACCAGGGUCAUUGAUAGUGGAGGGGCUGAGAUAUUGUGGCUUCAGAGCUUUCUCAGAAUCCAUCCUGGCCCUUCGUCCCUUUGUUAGCUUCCUUAUUGCCCAUCUCUGCCUGAUCUAACCCUGAUUACCAGAUAAGGCCUUUGGAAUGUUUUAACAGACCCUUAGCUCUCACUAGCACCAAGGCUCUGAGUGUCCUCUGACAGCAUCCUGGGCCUAGAAGAGCUCUCCCCACUUUGCUCUAACUUGCCUACCUCGUGAUUCUAUGGAUGUGUUUAAGAAUCACAUUAAUUUAUGACCAUUCUUUGGUACUGUCACUUUAAAAAACAUUUUUUUAAUCAAACUAUUAUCAUGUUGUAACACAGAGAUUGAGGUACCCAAAACCUGGGUGUUUCAGGCAGAGCCACUCAUAUUUGCCUCCAGAAUAAACUAUAUCUUUCGAAAAC